RNAcentral lists this ribosomal RNA (1328 nucleotides) under metagenome. RNAcentral's name for it is "bacterial LSU rRNA". It matches the Rfam family "Bacterial large subunit ribosomal RNA", at positions 1580 to 2925 of the family's 2925-position model. The record is from RNAcentral.
AAAGUAGCGAAGCACACAGACCAUCUGUCGAGAAAAGCCGCUAUUGUGUAUACCGUACCCGUACCGUAAACCGACACAGGUGGAUGAGGAGAGAAUCCUAAGGCCGGCGGGAGAAGCAUUGUUAAGGAACUCGGCAAAAUGACCCCGUAACUUCGGGAGAAGGGGUGCUCACGCAAGUGAGCCGCAGAGAACUGGCCCAAGCAACUGUUUAGCAAAAACACAGGUCUAUGCAAAACCGAAAGGUGAGGUAUAUGGGCUGACGCCUGCCCGGUGCUGGAAGGUUAAGAGGAGAUGUUAGAGCAAUCGAAGCAUUGAAUUUAAGCCCCAGUAAACGGCGGCCGUAACAAUAACGGUCCUAAGGUAGCGAAAUUCCUUGUCGGGUAAGUUCCGACCCGCACGAAAGGCGUAAUGAUUUGGGCACUGUCUCGACAAUGCACCCGGUGAAAUUGAAAUACCAGUGAAGAUGCUGGUUACCUGCGCCAGGACGGAAAGACCCCAUGGAGCUUUACUCUAGCUUGAUACUGGGAUUCGGUAUUGCAUGUACAGGAUAGGUGGGAGACGAAGAGGUGAUGACGCCAGUUGUCACGGAGUCGAUGUUGGGAUACCACCCCUGCAGUACUGGGUUUCUAACCUGCGGCCGUGACCCGGCCGGGGGACAAUGUCUGGUGGGGAGUUUGACUGGGGCGGUCGCCUCCGAAAGGGUAUCGGAGGCGCUCAAAGGUUCCCUCAGAAUGGUUGGAAACCAUUCGAAGAGUGCAAAGGCAGAAGGGAGCUUGACUGCGACACCGACGGGUGGAGCAGGUACGAAAGUAGGACUUAGUGAUCCGGUGGUAUGAAAGUGGGAUUGCCAUCGCUCAACGGAUAAAAGCUACCCUGGGAUAACAGGCUUAUCACUCCCAAGAGUUCACAUCGACGGAGUGGUUUGGCACCUCGAUGUCGGCUCAUCGCAUCCUGGGGCUGUAGUAGGUCCCAAGGGUUGGGCUGUUCGCCCAUUAAAGCGGUACGCGAGCUGGGUUCAGAACGUCGUGAAACAGUUCGGUCCCUAUCCGGCGUGGGCGCAGGAUAUCUGAGAGGAGCUGUCCUUAGUACGAGAGGACCGGGAUGGACUGACCUCUGGUGCAUCGGUUGAGCCACCAGGCUCAUGGCCGAGUAGCCAAGUCGGGACGGGAUAAACGCUGAAGGCAUCUAAGCGUGAAGCCCCCCUCAAGAUGAGAUAUCCCAUAGAGUUAAUCUAGUAAGACCCCUUGAAGACGACGAGGUAGAUAGGCAGAAGGUGGAAGUGUGGUGACAUAUGGAGCUGAUCUGUACUAAUAGGUCGAGGGCUUAAC